AUUGAACGCUGGCGGCAUGCCUUACACAUGCAAGUCGAACGGCAGCACGGACUUCGGUCUGGUGGCGAGUGGCGAACGGGUGAGUAAUGCAUCGGAACGUGCCAUUGAGUGGGGGAUAACGUAGCGAAAGUUGCGCUAAUACCGCAUAUUCUGUGAGCAGGAAAGCAGGGGACCGCAAGGCCUUGCGCUCUUUGAGCGGCCGAUGUCAGAUUAGCUAGUUGGUAGGGUAAAAGCCUACCAAGGCGACGAUGGUUAGCUGGUCUGAGAGGAUGAUCAGCCACACUGGAACUGAGACACGGUCCAGACUCCUACGGGUGGCUG
RNAcentral lists this ribosomal RNA (321 nucleotides) under uncultured Pseudomonadota bacterium. RNAcentral's name for it is "bacterial SSU rRNA". It matches the Rfam family "Bacterial small subunit ribosomal RNA", at positions 30 to 351 of the family's 1533-position model. The record is from RNAcentral. Lineage: Bacteria; Pseudomonadati; Pseudomonadota.